Molecule: ribosomal RNA, 337 nt
Filed under: proteobacterium or01
Lineage: Bacteria; Pseudomonadati; Pseudomonadota
Description: bacterial SSU rRNA
Rfam family: Bacterial small subunit ribosomal RNA
Source: RNAcentral
AGCGGCAGACGGGUGAGUAACGCGUGGGAAUCUACCCUUUACUACGGAAUAACGCAUGGAAACGUGUGCUAAUACCGUAUGUGUCCUUCGGGAGAAAGAUUUAUCGGUAAAGGAUGAGCCCGCGUUGGAUUAGCUAGUUGGUGGGGUAAAGGCCUACCAAGGCGACGAUCCAUAGCUGGUCUGAGAGGAUGAUCAGCCACAUUGGGACUGAGACACGGCCCAAACUCCUACGGGAGGCAGCAGUGGGGAAUAUUGGACAAUGGGCGCAAGCCUGAUCCAGCCAUGCCGCGUGAGUGAUGAAGGCCCUAGGGUUGUAAAGCUCUUUCACCGGAGAAGA